RNAcentral lists this ribosomal RNA (430 nucleotides) under uncultured bacterium. RNAcentral describes it as "bacterial SSU rRNA". It matches the Rfam family "Bacterial small subunit ribosomal RNA", at positions 962 to 1393 of the family's 1533-position model. The record is from RNAcentral.
CGAAGAACCUUACCAAGGCUUGACAUAUACCGGAAACAUCCAGAGAUGGGUGCCCCGCAAGGUCGGUAUACAGGUGGUGCAUGGUUGUCGUCAGCUCGUGUCGUGAGAUGUUGGGUUAAGUCCCGCAACGAGCGCAACCCUCGUUCUAUGUUGCCAGCACGUGAUGGUGGGGACUCAUAGGAGACUGCCGGGGUCAACUCGGAGGAAGGUGGGGAUGAGGUCAAAUCAUCAUGCCCCUUAUGUCUUGGGCUUCACACAUGCUACAAUGGCCGGUACAAAGGGCUGCGAAACCGCAAGGUGGAGCGAAUCCCAAAAAACCGGUCUCAGUUCGGAUUGGGGUCUGCAACUCGACCCCAUGAAGUUGGAGUCGCUAGUAAUCGCAGAUCAGCAACGCUGCGGUGAAUACGUUCCCGGGUCUUGUACACACCGA